UCAGCAGCCGCGGUAAUUCCAGCUCUGUAAGCGUAUACCAAAGUUGUUGCAGUUAAAACGCUCGUAGUCGGAGGUUGGCGGGCAGUCCAGGGCGUCCUCACGGACGGAUCGGGAGUGGCCGCCUUUGUGGAUGGGGGCCCAGUGGAGCUUUACUGCGUCACUGUGGUCGCUGCCACCGUUUACUGUGAAAAAAUUAGAGUGUUCAAAGCAGGCGUUUGCCAUGAAUACAUUAGCAUGGAAUAAUAGAAUAGGACCUGUUUCCUGUUUUGUUGGUUUGUGAGGAUCGGGUAAUGAUUAAGAGGGACGGUUGGGGGCAUUUGUAUUCCGGCGUCAGAGGUGAAAUUCUUGGAUUGGCGGAAGACAAACGGCUGCGAAAGCGUCUGCCAAGGACGUUUUCAUUGAUCAAGAACGAAAGUAAGGGGAUCGAAGACGAUCAGAUACCGUCGUAGUCUUUACUAUAAACGAUGAGGACUGGGGAUCGGGUAGGACUGUAUUUUGGCCUACCCGGCACCCUUCGGGAAACCAAAGUGUUUGCUUUCUGGGGGGAGUAUGGUCGCAAGGCUGAAACUUAAAGGAAUUGACGGAAGGGCAUCACCGGGUGUGGAGCCUGCGGCUUAAUUUGACUCAACACGGGA
RNAcentral lists this ribosomal RNA (635 nucleotides) under Iridaea sp. RNAcentral describes it as "SSU rRNA". It matches the Rfam family "Eukaryotic small subunit ribosomal RNA", at positions 567 to 1210 of the family's 1831-position model. Lineage: Eukaryota; Rhodophyta; Florideophyceae; Gigartinales; Gigartinaceae. The record is from RNAcentral.